This 431-nucleotide ribosomal RNA is filed under the name uncultured bacterium. RNAcentral's name for it is "partial 16S ribosomal RNA". It matches the Rfam family "Bacterial small subunit ribosomal RNA", at positions 29 to 507 of the family's 1533-position model. The record is from RNAcentral.
AACGAACGCUGGCGGCAGGCCUAACACAUGCAAGUCGAGCGCCCCGCCAGGGGAGCGGCGGUCGGGUGAGUAACGCGUGGGAACGUACCUUUUGGUACGGAACAACUUCGGGUUACUGGAGCUAAUACCGGAGAAGCCCUAACGGGGUAAGGUUUAUCGCCGAAGGAUCGGCCCUCGUCUGAUUAGCACGUUGGGGGGGUGAAGGAGCACCAAGGCGACGAUCAGUAGCUGGUCAGAGAGGAAGAUCAGCCACACUGGGACUGGGACACGGCCCAGACUCCUGCGGGAGGCAGCAGUGGGUAAUAUUGGACAAUGGGCGCAAGCCUGAUCCAGCCAGGCCGCGUGAGUGAUGAAGUCCUUAGGGUUGUAAAGCUCUUUUGUCCGGGAAGAUAAUGACGGUACCGGAAGAAUAAGCCCCGGCUAACUUCGUG